Molecule: ribosomal RNA, 433 nt
Filed under: uncultured bacterium
Lineage: Bacteria
Description: partial 16S ribosomal RNA
Rfam family: Bacterial small subunit ribosomal RNA
Source: RNAcentral
AACGAACGCUGGCGGCAUGCCUAACACAUGCAAGUCGAACGAGACCUUCGGGUCUAGUGGCGCACGGGUGCGUAACGCGUGGGAACCUUCCCUUAGGUUCGGAAUAACUCCCCUACAUGGGUGCUAAUAUCGGAUAAUUUCCUCUGACCAAAGAUUUAUCGCCUUUGGAUGGGCCCGCGUUGGAUUAGCUAGUUGGUAGGGUAAAAGCCUACCACGGCGACGAUCCAUAGCUGGUCUGAGAGGAUGAUCAGCCACACUGGGACUGAGACACGGCCCAGAAUCCUACGGGAGGCAGCAGUGGGGAAUAUUGGACAAUGGGCGAAAGCCUGAUCCAGCAAUGCCGCGUGAGUGAUGAAGGCCUUAGGGUUGUAAAGCUCUUUUACCCGGGAUGAUAAUGACAGUACCGGGAGAAUAAGCUCCGGCUAACUCCGUG